UAUGCGGGCCGGACGGUCGCGUGGGGCUUGCCCCCAUGAGGAAAGUCCGGGCUUCCAGAGGCGGGAUGCCGGCUAACGGCCGGGCGGGGAAACCCGACGGAAAGUGCUGAAGAAAAGGAAACUCCCACUGGCCGCGCAAGCGGUUAAGAGAAAAGCUGAGAAGGUGCGGUAAGAGCGCACCAGCAUGCCGGCAACGGCAUGGCUUGGUAAACCCCAUCCGAAGCAAGGGCAAAUAGGCACGCGAUACGGUUCAGCCUCUCCGUGCGUGCGGGUAGCCUGCUAGAGGUGCAUGGUGACAUGUACUCAAGAUAAAUGGCCGUCUUCAAAGACAGAACCCGGCUUACAGGCCCGCUAAGGCA
This is a non-coding RNA of Slackia heliotrinireducens DSM 20476, 359 nucleotides long. It matches the Rfam family "Bacterial RNase P class A". From Rfam's summary of the family: Ribonuclease P (RNase P) is a ubiquitous endoribonuclease, found in archaea, bacteria and eukarya as well as chloroplasts and mitochondria. Its best characterised activity is the generation of mature 5'-ends of tRNAs by cleaving the 5'-leader elements of precursor-tRNAs. Cellular RNase Ps are ribonucleoproteins. The record is from Rfam. NCBI's taxonomy places the organism in Bacteria, Bacillati, Actinomycetota, Coriobacteriia, Eggerthellales, Eggerthellaceae.